AUCCUGCCAUUAGUCAUAUGCUUGUCUCAAAGAUUAACCCCUUUAUGUCUAAGUAUAACCGUUAUACUGGGAAACUGCAAAUGGCUCAUUAAAUCAGUUAUAGUUUAUUUGAUGGUACCUUACUACUCGGAUAACCGUAUUAAUUCUAGAGCUAAUACGUGCGUAAAUCUCGACUUCGGAAGAAACGUAUUUAUUAAAUUAAAGACCAACCCUUCGGGACCGUUGGUGAUUCAUAAUAACUGGACGAAUCGCAUGGGCUUGCCCCGGCGAUGUUUCAUUCAAAUUUCUGCCCUAUCACGUUUCGAUGGUAGUAUAGAGGACUACCAUGCAAGUAACGGGUGACGGAGAAUUAGGGUUCGAUUCCGGAAAGGGAGCCUGAAAAACGGCUACCACAUCCAAGGAAGGCACCGGGCGCGCAAAUUACCCAAUCCUGACACAGGGAGGUAGUGACAAUAAAUAACAAUACCGGGCGUUUUUACGUCUGGUAAUUGGAAUGAGAACAAUCUAAAUCCCUUAUCAAGGAUCAAUU
This 529-nucleotide ribosomal RNA is filed under the name uncultured eukaryote. RNAcentral's name for it is "SSU rRNA". It matches the Rfam family "Eukaryotic small subunit ribosomal RNA", at positions 11 to 549 of the family's 1831-position model. The record is from RNAcentral.